GCCUAGGUGGCUUAGUUGGUUAAGCGUCAGACUUCAGCUCAGGUCAUGAUCUCACAGUUCGUGAGUUCGAGCCCCACAUUGGGCU
Molecule: transfer RNA, 85 nt
Filed under: Felis catus (domestic cat)
Lineage: Eukaryota; Metazoa; Chordata; Mammalia; Carnivora; Felidae
Also listed under: 1 other name
Rfam family: tRNA
About the family: Transfer RNA (tRNA) molecules are approximately 80 nucleotides in length. Their secondary structure includes four short double-helical elements and three loops (D, anti-codon, and T loops).
Source: Rfam by way of RNAcentral